This 720-nucleotide ribosomal RNA is filed under the name uncultured bacterium. Its description in RNAcentral is "partial 16S ribosomal RNA". It matches the Rfam family "Bacterial small subunit ribosomal RNA", at positions 387 to 1123 of the family's 1533-position model. The record is from RNAcentral.
CGCAGCAACGCCGCGUGGGGGAUGAAGGCCUUCGGGUUGUAAACCSCUUUCASGAGGGACGAGAUUGACGGUACCUSCAGAAKAAGCACCGGCCAACUACGUGCCAGCAGCCGCGGUAAUACGUAGGGUGCGAGCGUUAUCCGGAAUCAUUGGGCGUAAAGAGCUCGUAGGCGGUUCARCAAGUCGGCUGUGAAAUCCCGAGGCUCAACCUCGGAACUGCAGUCGAUACUGUUGUGACUAGAGUCCGGUAGAGGAGAGUGGAAUUCCCAGUGUAGCGGUGAAAUGCGUAGAUAUUGGGAGGAACACCGGUGGCGAAGGCGGCUCUCUGGACCGGUACUGACGCUGAGGCGCGAAAGCUAGGGGAGCAAACGGGAUUAGAUACCCCGGUAGUCCUAGCCGUAAACGAUGAGCACUUGGUGUAGUGGGUGUCGACCCCCGCUGUGCCGGARCUAACGCAUUAAGUGCUCCGCCUGGGGAGUACGGUCGSAAGGCUGAAACUCRAAGGAAUUGACGGGGGCCCGCACAAGCGGUGGAGCAUGUGGUUUAAUUCSACSCAACRCRAAGAACCUUACCUGGGUUUGAACCGCCGAGGCUCGAUGCWRAGAUGUAGUUUCCCUUCGRGGCUUCKGUAGAGGUGCUGCAUGGCUGUCGUCAGCUCGUGUCGUGAGAUGUUGGGUUAAGUCCCGCAACGAGCGCAACCCUUGCCCUCUGUUGCCACCA